GCAAGUCGUACGAGAAAUCUUUUGUUCGCAGAAGAGAGUAAAGUGGCGCACGGGUGAGUAACGCGUGGAUAAUCUGCCUCUGAAUCGGGGAUAACGUUACGAAAGUGACGCUAAUACCGGAUAAUAUCUAGAAUGCUUCGGUUUUUUAGAUCAAAGGGGGCCACUACAUGUAAGCUUCUGUUUAGAGAUGAGUCCGCGUGCCAUUAGCUUGUUGGUAGGGUAAUGGCCUACCAAGGCGACGAUCAGUAGCUGGUCUGAGAGGAUGAUC
RNAcentral lists this ribosomal RNA (268 nucleotides) under uncultured bacterium. RNAcentral describes it as "partial 16S ribosomal RNA". It matches the Rfam family "Bacterial small subunit ribosomal RNA", at positions 57 to 305 of the family's 1533-position model. The record is from RNAcentral.